RNAcentral lists this ribosomal RNA (520 nucleotides) under uncultured bacterium. RNAcentral's name for it is "bacterial SSU rRNA". It matches the Rfam family "Bacterial small subunit ribosomal RNA", at positions 120 to 674 of the family's 1533-position model. The record is from RNAcentral.
GGGAACAUACCCUUUUCUACGGAAUAGCUCUGGGAAACUGGAAUUAAUACCGUAUACGCCCUACGGGGGAAAGAUUUAUCGGGGAAGGAUUGGCCCGCGUUGGAUUAGCUAGUUGGUGGGGUAAAGGCCUACCAAGGCGACGAUCCAUAGCUGGUCUGAGAGGAUGAUCAGCCACAUUGGGACUGAGACACGGCCCAAACUCCUACGGGAGGCAGCAGUGGGGAAUAUUGGACAAUGGGCGCAAGCCUGAUCCAGCCAUGCCGCGUGAGUGAUGAAGGCCUUAGGGUUGUAAAGCUCUUUCACCGAUGAAGAUAAUGACGGUAGUCGGAGAAGAAGCCCCGGCUAACUUCGUGCCAGCAGCCGCGGUAAUACGAAGGGGGCUAGCGUUGUUCGGAAUUACUGGGCGUAAAGCGCACGUAGGCGGAUAUUUAAGUCAGGGGUGAAAUCCCAGAGCUCAACUCUGGAACUACCUUUGAUACUGGGUAUCUUGAGUAUGGAAGAGGUAAGUGGAAUUGCGAGU